AGGGGCGAUCAUACCAGUAUUAAUGCACCGGAUCCCAUUAGAACUCUGUAGUUAAGCAUGCUUGAGCGAGAGUAGUACUCGGGCGGGUGACCACCUGGGAAGUCCUCGUGUUGCACCUU
Cicer arietinum (chickpea) is the source of this 119-nucleotide non-coding RNA. The record is from Rfam. NCBI's taxonomy places the organism in Eukaryota, Viridiplantae, Streptophyta, Magnoliopsida, Fabales, Fabaceae.